This 430-nucleotide ribosomal RNA is filed under the name uncultured bacterium. RNAcentral describes it as "bacterial SSU rRNA". It matches the Rfam family "Bacterial small subunit ribosomal RNA", at positions 354 to 776 of the family's 1533-position model. The record is from RNAcentral.
GUUAGGAAUAUUCGUCAAUGGGGGAAACCCUGAACGAGCAAUGCCGCGUGAAGGAAGACGGUCCUAUGGAUUGUAAACUUCUGUUGUAAGGGAAGAACGACCUAAGUAGGAAAUGAUUUAGGAGUGACGGUACCUUUCAAGAAAGCUCCGGCUAACUACGUGCCAGCAGCCGCGGUAAUACGUAGGGAGCGAGCGUUAUCCGGAAUUAUUGGGUGUAAAGGGUGCGUAGGCGGCAUAAUAAGUCAGUGGUGAAAGCCCGGAGCUUAACUCCGGUAAGCCAUUGAAACUGUUAAGCUUGAGUAUGGUAGAGGCAAGCGGAAUUUCUAGUGUAGCGGUAAAAUGCGUAGAUAUUAGAAGGAACACCAGUGGCGAAGGCGGCUUGCUGGGCCAAAACUGACGCUGAGGCACGAAAGCGUGGGGAGCAAAUAGG